AUUGAACGCUGGCGGAAUGCUUUACACAUGCAAGUCGAACGGCAGCACGGGGGCAACCCUGGUGGCGAGUGGCGAACGGGUGAGUAAUACAUCGGAACGUGCCCGGUCGUGGGGGAUAACGUAGCGAAAGUUACGCUAAUACCGCAUACGAUCUGAGGAUGAAAGCGGGGGACCUUCGGGCCUCGCGCGCUCGGAGCGGCCGAUGUCAGAUUAGGUAGUUGGUGGGGUAAAGGCCUACCAAGCCGACGAUCUGUAGCUGGUCUGAGAGGACGACCAGCCACACUGGGACUGAGACACGGCCCAGACUCCUACGGGAGGCAGCAGUGGGGAAUUUUGGACAAUGGGCGCAAGCCUGAUCCAGCCAUUCCGCGUGCAGGACGAAGGCCUUCGGGUUGUAAACUGCUUUUGUAUGGAACGAAAAGGCUCUGGCUAAUACCUGGGGCUCAUGACGGUACCGUAAGAAUAAGCACCGGCUAACUACGUG
Molecule: ribosomal RNA, 484 nt
Filed under: uncultured bacterium
Lineage: Bacteria
Description: partial 16S ribosomal RNA
Rfam family: Bacterial small subunit ribosomal RNA
Source: RNAcentral